AGUGAACGCUGGCGGUAGGCCUAACACAUGCAAGUCGAACGGCAGCACAGUAAGAGCUUGCUCUUACGGGUGGCGAGUGGCGGACGGGUGAGGAAUACAUCGGAAUCUACUUUUUCGUGGGGGAUAACGUAGGGAAACUUACGCUAAUACCGCAUACGACCUACGGGUGAAAGCAGGGGAUCUUCGGACCUUGCGCGAUUGAAUGAGCCGAUGUUGGAUUAGCUAGUUGGCGGGGUAAAGGCCCACCAAGGCGACGAUCCGUAGCUGGUCUGAGAGGAUGAUAAGCCACACUGGAACUGGGACACGGUCCAGACUCCUACGGGAGGCAGCAGUGGGGAAUAUUGGACAAUGGGCGCAAGCCUGAUCCAGCCAUACCGCGUGGGUGAAGAAGGCCUUCGGGUUGUAAAGCCCUUUUGUUGGGAAAGAAAAGCAGCAGGUUAAUACCCCGCCGUUCUGACGGUACCCAAAGAAUAAGCACCGGCUAACUUCGUG
RNAcentral lists this ribosomal RNA (492 nucleotides) under uncultured bacterium. Its description in RNAcentral is "partial 16S ribosomal RNA". It matches the Rfam family "Bacterial small subunit ribosomal RNA", at positions 29 to 507 of the family's 1533-position model. The record is from RNAcentral.